GUCGUCGUAGCUCAGCUGGAUAGAGCACAUGAUUUCUAAUCAUGCGGUCGCAGGUUCGAGCCCUGCCGACGACGCCA
Molecule: transfer RNA, 77 nt
Filed under: Bacteriovoracales bacterium
Lineage: Bacteria; Pseudomonadati; Bdellovibrionota; Bacteriovoracia; Bacteriovoracales
Description: tRNA-Arg
Rfam family: tRNA
About the family: Transfer RNA (tRNA) molecules are approximately 80 nucleotides in length. Their secondary structure includes four short double-helical elements and three loops (D, anti-codon, and T loops).
Source: RNAcentral